CAUCAAGUCUUAACUAUUUGAGUAUUUCUCUCCACUAGGCAAUGAUCUUGUAGAAAGAAAGCCUAUCAUAUCUGCUUUUGUAUUCCACCGUCUGAGACAUAAUGGCACUCAGGAAAUAUUUCUUGAACUACCAGAAUAUUGUCUAAGAUAGGAUCUCCCCAUGCAAUCUAGGCUGGCCUAUAACUAGAGAGUCUUCUGCCUCACCCUCUGUAAUUACAGUCACGCACCACCAUGGCAAGGAGUUAAUUUUUGAAAGCUUAUUUUUCCUCUUUUAUCUUGACCCAUCUUAUUUAGUUACUCCAAGACUGACAGCAAGAAAUUCUAUCACAGUUCUUAUAAGUCUGGACAGAGUUUUCUCUUCACUGAAGAGGGUCUCGGUGAAACACUUUGGAGAAAACAAAAGCAAAGAAGACAAGAGGGAAAGAAGAAAAUAAAUUAAGGAGAGAGAAUCAGAGAUUCAGAAAAAAGGCAUUACCUGGUUACAAGUACAACUGGUGAAUGUUUCAUGUGUCAUGACAGUUCAAGCAGCACUUAACUCUUUAAAUCUGCAACAGAAGUGACAUUACUAGGUGUGUGUGGGAAUGUCCCCAUAGUAUUUUGUUGUUCUGAAGAUCUGAGACUUCUCUUCUUUGAGCCCUUAGGUCAAAUUUACUCCAAGUUGCUAGUGUUAUGGUUUUCUGAAAUACUAUUCUUACCAUAUAUUAAAACCUGUAAUUUAUUUAUUUAUAUAUAAUAUUGGAAUGCAUUGCAGUGAAUACACCCAAAAGCAAUUUUUAUUGAAAGUAAUAUAGUCAGGAAAAGACAGUUGCACACUUAGUAGAAUAAAUGGUGUAGGCUUUGUUGUCUCA
Molecule: long non-coding RNA, 848 nt
Filed under: Castor canadensis (American beaver)
Lineage: Eukaryota; Metazoa; Chordata; Mammalia; Rodentia; Castoridae
Description: lncRNA (ENSCCNG00000013515.1)
Source: RNAcentral